This 497-nucleotide ribosomal RNA is filed under the name uncultured bacterium. RNAcentral describes it as "partial 16S ribosomal RNA". It matches the Rfam family "Bacterial small subunit ribosomal RNA", at positions 28 to 507 of the family's 1533-position model. The record is from RNAcentral.
GAUGAACGCUGGCGGCGUGCCUAAUACAUGCAAGUCGAGCGAACAGAUGAGGAGCUUGCUCUUCUGACGUUAGCGGCGGACGGGUGAGUAACACGUGGAUAACCUACCUAUAAGACUGGGAUAACUUCGGGAAACCGGAGCUAAUACCGGAUAAUAUAUUGAACCGCAUGGUUCAAUAGUGAAAGACGGUUUUGCUGUCACUUAUAGAUGGAUCCGCGCUGCAUUAGCUAGUUGGUAAGGUAACGGCUUACCAAGGCAACGAUGCGUAGCCGACCUGAGAGGGUGAUCGGCCACACUGGAACUGAGACACGGUCCAGACUCCUACGGGAGGCAGCAGUAGGGAAUCUUCCGCAAUGGGCGAAAGCCUGACGGAGCAACGCCGCGUGAGUGAUGAAGGUCUUCGGAUCGUAAAACUCUGUUAUUAGGGAAGAACAAAUGUGUAAGUAACUAUGCACGUCUUGACGGUACCUAAUCAGAAAGCCACGGCUAACUACGUG